RNAcentral lists this ribosomal RNA (2910 nucleotides) under Klebsiella oxytoca. RNAcentral describes it as "23S ribosomal RNA". It matches the Rfam family "Bacterial large subunit ribosomal RNA". Lineage: Bacteria; Pseudomonadati; Pseudomonadota; Gammaproteobacteria; Enterobacterales; Enterobacteriaceae. The record is from RNAcentral.
GGGUUGUGAGGUUAAGCGACUAAGCGUACACGGUGGAUGCCCUGGCAGUCAGAGGCGAUGAAGGACGUGCUAAUCUGCGAAAAGCGUCGGUAAGGUGAUAUGAACCGUUACAGCCGGCGAUGUCCGAAUGGGGAAACCCAGUGCAAUUCGUUGCACUAUCGUUAACUGAAUACAUAGGUUAACGAGGCGAACCGGGGGAACUGAAACAUCUAAGUACCCCGAGGAAAAGAAAUCAACCGAGAUUCCCCAGUAGCGGCGAGCGAACGGGGAGCAGCCCGGAGUCUGAAUCAGCUUGUGUGUUAGUGGAAGCGUCUGGAAAGUCGCAGGGUACAGGGUGAUACUCCCGUACACUAAAACACACAGGUUGUGAACUCGAAGAGUAGGGCGGGACACGUGGUAUCCUGUCUGAAUAUGGGGGACCAUCCUCCAAGGCUAAAUACUCCUGACUGACCGAUAGUGAACCAGUACCGUGAGGGAAAGGCGAAAAGAACCCCGGCGAGGGAGUGAAAAGAACCUGAAACCGUGUACGUACAAGCAGUAGGAGCCCACUAGUUGGGUGACUGCGUACCUUUGUAUAAUGGGUCAGCGACUUAUAUUCUGUAGCAAGGUUAACCGUAUAGGGAGCCGCAGGGAAACCGAGUCUUAACUGGGCGUUAAGUUGCAGGGUAUAGACCCGAAACCCGGUGAUCUAGCCAUGGGCAGGUUGAAGGUUGGGUAACACUAACUGGAGGACCGAACCGACUAAUGUUGAAAAAUUAGCGGAUGACUUGUGGCUGGGGUGAAAGGCCAAUCAAACCGGGAGAUAGCUGGUUCUCCCGAAAGCUAUUUAGGUAGCGCCUCGUGAACUCAUCUUCGGGGUAGAGCACUGUUUCGGCUAGGGGGUCAUCCCGACUUACCAACCCGAUGCAAACUACGAAUACCGAAGAAUGUUAUCACGGGAGACACACGGCGGGUGCUAACGUCCGUCGUGAAGAGGAAACAACCCAGACCGCCAGCUAAGGUCCCAAAGUCAUGGUUAAGUGGGAAACGAUGUGGGAAGGCCCAGACAGCCGGAUGUUGGCUUAGAAGCAGCCAUCAUUUAAAGAAAGCGUAAUAGCUCACUGGUCGAGUCGGCCUGCGCGGAAGAUGUAACGGGGCUAAACCAUGCACCGAAGCUGCGGCAGCGACACUAUGUGUUGUUGGGUAGGGGAGCGUUCUGUAAGCCGUUGAAGGUGGCCUGUGAGGGUUGCUGGAGGUAUCAGAAGUGCGAAUGCUGACAUAAGUAACGAUAAUGCGGGUGAAAACCCGCACGCCGGAAGACCAAGGGUUCCUGUCCAACGUUAAUCGGGGCAGGGUGAGUCGACCUAAGGCGAGGCCGAAAGGCGUAGUCGAUGGGAAACAGGUUAAUAUUCCUGUACUCGGUGUUACUGCGAAGGGGGACGGAGAAGGCUAUGUUGGCCGGGCGACGGUUGUCCCGGUUUAAGCAUGUAGGCGGAUGUUCCGUGUAAAUCCGGAACGUCACUAACGCUGAGGUGUGAUGACGAGGCACUACGGUGCUGAAGUGACAAAUGCCCUGCUUCCAGGAAAAGCCUCUAAGCAUCAGGUAACAUCAAAUCGUACCCCAAACCGACACAGGUGGUCAGGUAGAGAAUACCAAGGCGCUUGAGAGAACUCGGGUGAAGGAACUAGGCAAAAUGGUGCCGUAACUUCGGGAGAAGGCACGCUGAUGGUAGGUGAAGUGACUUGCUCAUGGAGCUGAAAUCAGUCGAAGAUACCAGCUGGCUGCAACUGUUUAUUAAAAACACAGCACUGUGCAAACACGAAAGUGGACGUAUACGGUGUGACGCCUGCCCGGUGCCGGAAGGUUAAUUGAUGGGGUUAUCCUCGCGGAGAAGCUCUUGAUCGAAGCCCCGGUAAACGGCGGCCGUAACUAUAACGGUCCUAAGGUAGCGAAAUUCCUUGUCGGGUAAGUUCCGACCUGCACGAAUGGCGUAAUGAUGGCCAGGCUGUCUCCACCCGAGACUCAGUGAAAUUGAACUCGCUGUGAAGAUGCAGUGUACCCGCGGCAAGACGGAAAGACCCCGUGAACCUUUACUAUAGCUUGACACUGAACACUGGUCCUUGAUGUGUAGGAUAGGUGGGAGGCUUUGAAGUGUGGACGCCAGUCUGCAUGGAGCCAUCCUUGAAAUACCACCCUUUAAUGGCUGGUGUUCUAACGUGGGCCCCUGAUCGGGGUUGCGGACAGUGUCUGGUGGGUAGUUUGACUGGGGCGGUCUCCUCCUAAAGAGUAACGGAGGAGCACGAAGGUCAGCUAAUCUGGUCGGACAUCAGGAGGUUAGUGCAAUGGCAUAAGCUGGCUUGACUGCGAGCGUGACGGCGCGAGCAGGUGCGAAAGCAGGUCAUAGUGAUCCGGUGGUUCUGAAUGGAAGGGCCAUCGCUCAACGGAUAAAAGGUACUCCGGGGAUAACAGGCUGAUACCGCCCAAGAGUUCAUAUCGACGGCGGUGUUUGGCACCUCGAUGUCGGCUCAUCACAUCCUGGGGCUGAAGUAGGUCCCAAGGGUAUGGCUGUUCGCCAUUUAAAGUGGUACGCGAGCUGGGUUUAGAACGUCGUGAGACAGUUCGGUCCCUAUCUGCCGUGGGCGCUGGAGAAUUGAGGGGGCUGCUCCUAGUACGAGAGGACCGGAGUGGACGCAUCACUGGUGUUCGGGUUGUCAUGCCAAUGGCAUUGCCCGGUAGCUAAAUGCGGAAGAGAUAAGUGCUGAAAGCAUCUAAGCACGAAACUUGCCCCGAGAUGAGUUCUCCCUGACCCUUUAAGGGUCCUGAAGGAACGUUGAAGACGACGACGUUGAUAGGCCGGGUGUGUAAGCGCAGCGAUGCGUUGAGCUAACCGGUACUAAUGAACCGUGAGGCUUAACCUUACAACGCCGAAG